Molecule: transfer RNA, 70 nt
Filed under: Encarsia obtusiclava
Lineage: Eukaryota; Metazoa; Arthropoda; Insecta; Hymenoptera; Aphelinidae
Description: tRNA-Gln
Source: RNAcentral
AUAUAUAUAAUAAUAUUAUUAUUAUUUCUAAAAAUUUCAAAAGUUUUUGUGCAAAUUACACUUAUAUAUA